Long non-coding RNA from Orbicella faveolata, 3964 nucleotides. Lineage: Eukaryota; Metazoa; Cnidaria; Anthozoa; Scleractinia; Merulinidae. The record is from RefSeq and is a predicted model, not a curated record.
GAAAAGCUGCAAUUUAAAGAAGGAAGGAUCAUUCUCUGGCAUGAAAACGACCAGGAUAUCAGUUUUAUCCUAAAUUAUGAUCAUUUUGUGUUUUGAAAAGAUAUAUGUAUCUAUAUUAUAUUUAGAUAAAUUGUCGUGCCGAUGAUAGCAUUGAGGAUGACCUUUUGAGCUCAGAAUGAAACAGACCUCUUUUGAAUGAUGCUGAGUAUUACUUUACUGACGAGCCGGAUGGACUUUCAUGGAAUAAACAAUUUCAAUCUUUUCAAACUGUUCCCUCCCUCAAUGUGACCGCAAAUAAGCUCAUGACCAACUUUCUGGGCUAUGAUCUGCAGACAGCUGGUAUUACCAAACGACAAACGUUCAUUGUUGAUACCGUAAUAGUUUUGGAUGGGUCUGGGUCGGUUCCUCCUUGCGACUUCUCGAAAGCAAAAGAAGCGCUUAAACACUUAAUGGAUACACUGAACAAGCCCGGGUACGACUCAAAGUACGCGGCGGUUACCUUUGAAACCACAGCAACCGUCAACUUCAAGUUUUUACCAUACUCAUCAGCAGCGAGCGAAAUAACGAAGAUAUCGUAACCAGGAGGCUCCACUAACACCCAAGCCGGACUGGCAGAAGCAAAGAAACUGUUUGAUGACCUUAACUCAGGUCGCCGUCCCUUACCAAAUAGAAAAAGAGUCUUCCUUGUCACUGAUGGCAGAUCAAACGUCCGUCCAGACUUGACCAUACCGAAUGCCAAAGCACUGAAAGCGAGUGGUGUGAAAAUCUUUGUGGUUGCUGUUGGAAAUGCUAUUUCCGGAAUAGACGAGAUGGUGAAGGUUGCCUCCAAUCCCUUAACAGAUCUGUUGAGAUUAGAUAAUUAUCAGCAAUUAUGGCGUCUUAUCCAGUUGGCUGUGAAAAUGGUUUCUCCGGGUAAAAACAACCUUGUCGACUACGAACCUUCUUGCAGCUAGAGCAAAAGUACCUCGAGUUUAUAACAGUUCAGAGAUCUGAACAUUUUUGUUUUAUUUGCUGGGCUUAGAAGGUGAGAACAAUAGGAGCUGCACCUUAAGUUUAUAGUCUGUGUAGAAACUUAUCAGUGGAUUGUAGCUGCAUGCAAACACUUUUAGGUUGAGCACGGUAGUCUAUCGUUUUGCUUAAUACUGAUCAAGGCUCCAUAUGGAUAUUAGUUCCGUAUGGUAUUUUGUAAACCACAGGGGUAGGAACUUUUAGGCAAAUGGAUUUUAAAAUAACAUUUGAAAGUUUCAAUACAUCGAUCGAUUAAUCUUCUUUUUGUUUGUUUAAUAAAAUAGCAUUACAAUCACGUCAAAUAUGAUGAUAUUUUUGAGUCCACUGUUUGGUUGAUAAAUCUGGUAAUAAUCAACGUUAUUUAAUGUCAGAAUGGCUGUGAGCCGCUGAACUCGGAUAAUGAUUUAUGAAAGGCUGAGAAUGGAGUUUUUGCACCGCUAUUCCAGCUCCAAGGGUAUUUCACAAUUUGAGGUUUAUGAAUUAAAAAGAGUAGGAAAUCUGACAUCUACGUAUUUAAAAGUGCCUUUAAUUGUAAUACUUUGAACAGACGCACCUUAAAUAACUCUACUGGUAAUGCUUGCCUCGUGUUCUCAAAUGCCCGUCGUGGUUUAUCACAGUGUAAUACACGGCUUAGGCUUCAUUUGUUAAUAUAUUGUCUCCUUCUCCUGCUUUGCCUUUUGAAGCCUCUGUAAAAAUAGUCUGCUUCGUAUCGGCCUGUAACGGUCACCUCCUCGACUAGACACUUGCUUUGUGCCGAUCGUACAGGUUAGCUGAGUAGCCAUCGCCUUCCUUGUUCCUAUCCCCGUCUCUUGGAUCUUCUCGAAUGAGGUCUUCUCCGAGGCCUUUCGCCCUUAUUAGUUGACUUCUCUUGUCGCUUCGUCUUGUCUUUGUUUCAUUGUCCUUGCUGUUGCCAAUUUAAAAUGCCUUAUACCCUACUUCCAGCUGCACGUUGUCUCGAGCAUCAGCAUGAGCUGCAUGAGGAACAUGUUCAUACGGUCUCUUUUCACCCAGUUGGCAUGAAUGAGUUUCCAGUUGACCAUUUUUCGAAGUACUUAGUCUUAAAUAUAUAAUCUUUAAUUCAUCAUCUUUAAUUGGUAUACUUCUAAACAGUAAAUUCUAUACUACCAGUUUAAAAAUAAAUAACUCAAAAAGUAAGAUGUUAUAAGUAACGGUACAAAUGGUCGAAAUAUAUGGUUUCUUCUUUUGUGCCACCAUUCGACCGACCUGGGAAAAUAUUUUCGAUCGUUGUCCUCUUCAAGGAAAUUCUCUUUUUGUCCUUGGCCUUGUUGUAUGAAACCGGGCCUUCAGCAUCUAAAAGACGAUUGCACAGUUCUUCAAGACGUCUUUAGCUUCUGUCUUCUUUUCUUAACUUUCGAGACCGCCGGUUCCGGCCAUCUGUCAGGUGAAAUGAAAUUCGCAAGUCUUGACUCCAAAAAUUGACUGUCGCAAACCCUCCAGAUUUGACCCCGCCAUUUCGGUAACCCACCCACGAGGAUUAAAGAAAUACUUCUCAUUUUCAUUUUCUUUCCUUAGAACUUCGUUAAAGUUGUUCGAAAAAGGCUCGAUGGGCAGAGCAAGAGUCUUCAUUUUCACAUUCCAUUGUGGCGAAAGGUAUACGUCUUCCGAGUAGAGGAUGAUAGCCUAGCAGCCAGUGAAACCAAACCUUUGCACAUUUUUACCUUCUCGUCGACAAAACCAAAUUCUUGACUCAAGACAUGGUCUUCAGUUCUGUCCAUGCUAGGUGCGAAUUUUACUUUAAACUUACUCGUCUUAAAAACAAAUGACGGCUUAUCAGGAUUACCACGCCGGUCAUUUAAUUUAUAACAUAACAUGGGUCACGAGGGUCGGCCAGAGCAAUAGGUGUUUCAAAAAUAUUAUUGAAGAUAGGUCUACAAUUAUCAUCCUUUAUCGGUCUAUUAAAACGUUUAUUUCAGGUUAUCUGCUUAUGAUUAUUUUUUGCGUGACCCGUGCCGCUUACCCGCGACCCGCGCGGCUCUACCCGGCGACCCGCACUGUAUAUCCGCGACUCACGCUGUUUACCCGCGACCCGUGCAGAUUAGACACUCCGUCACCAAAUGGGCAUAACUUGUAACUAUUUCAAACAGGCCAAAAUCGGGAAAUUGGCCUGACAGGGUACCUCCUCCCCUAGAAAGAUGGAAACAAGAGAAAUAAAUAACGCGAGACGGUCUGAUGUGAUCCCGCGCAAGUUCCCGCGUAAAACCGUCUUUCCCGCGAAAAGUUUUCGUGACGUCACUUGUUUUCCCGUGACGCGAAAGACACUGGUAACGAAAGAGAAUCCAAACAUGGCGACCGGAGAUCGCAGUUUUGAGAGGAUUAUAAACUCAUUUUGGUGCCAGCACCACGAUUAAUAUGGCCUCUAUGGCAUCAGUUUCCGUUUGAAGCAUAUUAUCGUCGUUUGGCUGGAUUUGGGUGCAAGGAAAAUGGCUGUGACGGCUUACAGAACACUGAAAUGAAGACCAUCUUUGUGCUGCUUACUGACAACAACACGGCAAAUUAAAUUAUUCCACAAAACUGUAAACUACAGGUAAGCUUAAAAUCAAAAGCUGCUGUUUACGAAAUUUAGUUUAUCUACUGGUGUUUUUCCGUUGCUAUUGCCCAAGUAAGCAUUGAAGUUCCAGGUUGAAUUUUAUUGUGUCGAGCGUUUAUAAUUUAUACAGCGGUAAAUUCAAAUUCUCAGUACAUCUCGCACGUGCCCGCCGUUGUUUUGAGCAAAAAAUAUCCGAGACUGGCCUUUGUUUGAGGUUCUAAGCUUAAAAAACGAAAUCCCAACCUCUUAAAAAUCCUCUCAGACAAUACUAAAGGUGCUAGAAGUGUUGUGGCUGCACGAAAACAUAAAGAUAUCAAAGAUGGACGCCACGUUUUUAUUACGCCCCCCAAGGCAUGCUGGGACCAACUAUAACAAUGCAUGAUGUACCAAGCUAUGAUAAUGCAUGAU